AUCAAAUGAUCAAAGAUGUUUGGUCCACCCCUGAAUUUCAAAGGAGGUCUAAAUCUGCUAGGAGGAAUCGAUUAACCAAAACAGAUGGUAAAAUAAGCACUCAUUCUGGAGGAACAAUGUCAUUUGCAUCAUAUCGAGCUAACAUGCAAGAGGAAGCUGGUGGAAAAGAACCUCCAUGGGAUGAUGUCUUUUCAGCUUUGCAUCAAAGUACUAAGCAGUCUGGUGGCUUCGUCGACAACAAGUCCAAAAAAGUGGUUGAAAAUUAUAAAAUGGAGAUGAUUUCAAAGUAUGGAACUAAUCGGGAAAAUCAUCCUUCAUUUGAUGGAGCAGCUUAGUGUGUGGCUUCAAGAGGAGUUACAAAGGGUAAGGUAUAUGGUGCACCUCGUAUGCCAAAAUCUAUAGUUAGUCCAAGCUCUUCAUCACAUUCCUACUCAGUGGAGUCAUCAUAUCCCAGUUCAUCGUAUCGAGCAUUGCAAAAGGAGAUAAAUGAUAAAGAAGAG
Molecule: long non-coding RNA, 500 nt
Organism: Populus euphratica (Euphrates poplar)
Lineage: Eukaryota; Viridiplantae; Streptophyta; Magnoliopsida; Malpighiales; Salicaceae
Exons: 3
Source: RefSeq, a predicted model, not a curated record